This 467-nucleotide ribosomal RNA is filed under the name uncultured bacterium. RNAcentral's name for it is "partial 16S ribosomal RNA". It matches the Rfam family "Bacterial small subunit ribosomal RNA", at positions 28 to 507 of the family's 1533-position model. The record is from RNAcentral.
GAUGAACGCUGGCGGCGUGCUUAACACAUGCAAGUCGAACGGAAAGGCCCAAGCUUGCUUGGGUACUCGAGUGGCGAACGGGUGAGUAACACGUGGGUGAUCUGCCCUGCACUUCGGAAUAAGCCUGGGAAACUGGGGCUAAUACCGGAUAGGACGAUGGUUUGGAUGCCAUUGUGGAAAGUUUUUUCGGUGUGGGAUGAGCUCGCGGCCUAUCAGCUUGUUGGUGGGGUAAUGGCCUACCAAGGCGUCGACGGGUAGCCGGCCUGAGAGGGUGUACGGCCACAUUGGGACUGAGAUACGGCCCAGACUCCUACGGGAGGCAGCAGUGGGGAAUAUUGCACAAUGGGCGCAAGCCUGAUGCAGCGACGCCGCGUGGGGGAUGACGGCCUUCGGGUUGUAAACUCCUUUCGCUAGGGACGAAGCGUUUUGUGACGGUACCUGGAGAAGAAGCACCGGCUAACUACGUG